Molecule: long non-coding RNA, 1499 nt
Organism: Belonocnema kinseyi
Lineage: Eukaryota; Metazoa; Arthropoda; Insecta; Hymenoptera; Cynipidae
Exons: 5
Source: RefSeq, a predicted model, not a curated record
UUCAUUGGAUCGAACCGCAUUUUGCAACCGCUUCUGAGAAGAAAUGUUCGGCCAUUUGGAAGCAACGUGAAUGACUACGAAGAAUCACCGAUCUUUCCGAAUGAUCAAAAAAGAAAUUUUUGUCAAAAUCGGCAGUGGAGGUUCCAGAGGAUUACCCCAACGAACGGGAAGGCAUUUAUUUUGUGCUAGGUAAACCGAAGACAAAAACCACUGCAAGAACUUUACACAAGGGCAAAUUAUGGAGCAGAUACAAUAAUGUGAACCAGAAGUUAGGCGGUUCGCUAAAAAUAAUGCUAAAGAUUGUGAUCAGAAUGUGCAGGAAACACCGUACAUGUAUGCCAAAGCGAGAUCAGAAACAAUUACAGUCGGCAUAUUUCUAAAUGCUUCUGUUCUUAAUUUCUGAUUAAAAUCGGAGAUUCAGAAAAUUGCUUGAAUGAAGUAAGGUCCACAACGAUUGAGCGUUCAAUAGCUUUUUAGUAUCUAAGGAGCACAGUGGGUUUGGAUGAAACUCAAGCCAAAAAUUGGAAAAUUUGUAUCCAGGAUCGGGCACAGUUUUUGGAACCACAUGACAUUUAUAAUUACAUUCAGGAAAUCCCUAUUUUACAUACCCAGUUUGGGUAUAAGUUACUUCUGCAAGAUUUUGUACUUCGCUACAGUAAAGAAAGUGCAUCCUUGUUUACAGCUUGGGAAUACUUAGUUUCUGCAAUUUUAUCGAUCGGCAUAAAAAAGGACAUUUUGCAGCCAAUCUGGAGCACCCAAAUGGUAUCGUAUUGCACUGUUUCAAAAUCAGGACACGAUUGUCGCUUGGCAUUCAAAUUUAUUCUUCGAGUUUUAACAAACAAAAAGUUCAAAUACGCAUAACUUCGUCAGAAUUGUGUUCCCUAAUCACAAAAAUACGUGUCGGCUUGUUUUAUCCAAAAAACAUUAUAUUCGGCGCCGGAAAAAUUCUGCCAUUGAAUGUGUAGAACUUGUCUAAUUUCAAAUGGAUUCGGUCUUCUGGAUUUGUAAGGUUGCUUCCAAAUUGAUGUAAUACUCACAGGAUGAAACCCACGUUGACGAGGAACUAAAGCGACGAAAGGACGUAGUUGUUAACCAUGGAGACACUCUAAAAUCAUUUAUUUGAGCCGUUGGAAAUGAUCUCGAUCAUUUCACGAAGAUUUACGCCUACGUAGAUGGAAGGAAGUAUAGUAUGGACAGUCCUUUACAAGCACUGGACGUUUUCUUCAAGUUCUUCCACGCUCUAAACGCACAGUAUCCGAGUACUGAACAACAAGUAUGGAACUUUAUUCAAAAAUACCUGUAUAUCUGCAACAAUUCACACAGAUUUUGACGUGGAGAGUAGUUCACAAGAGGAAGUUGCUGCUGAGCUUUGCAUAGCUAGACCUCGUUUAAAAAAUAUCUUAUAGAAUGGAAUGUGUCGUAAUGUAAAGAGCCUACAAAAGAGAUGCUACCCUAAAAAAUAACUUGGUAUGUUAUAGUUUUCCUACGCUUAUGGUUUC